CCUACGGGAGGCAGCAGUGGGGAAUAUUGGACAAUGGGGGCAACCCUGAUCCAGCCAUGCCGCGUGUGUGAAGAAGGCCCUCGGGUUGUAAAGCACUUUCAGUGAGGAAGAACGCCUGGUGGUUAAUACCCAUCAGGAAAGACAUCACUCACAGAAGAAGCACCGGCUAACCCCGUGCCAGCAGCCGCGGUAAUACGGAGGGUGCGAGCGUUAAUCGGAAUUACUGGGCGUAAAGCGCGCGUAGGUGGCUUGAUAAGCCGGUUGUGAAAGCCCCGGGCUCAACCUGGGAACGGCAUCCGGAACUGUCAAGCUAGAGUGCAGGAGAGGAAGGUAGAAUUCCCGGUGUAGCGGUGAAAUGCGUAGAGAUCGGGAGGAAUACCAGUGGCGAAGGCGGCCUUCUGGACUGACACUGACACUGAGGUGCGAAAGCGUGGGUAGCAAACAGGAUUAGAUACCCCUGUAGUC
Molecule: ribosomal RNA, 465 nt
Filed under: Vreelandella stevensii
Lineage: Bacteria; Pseudomonadati; Pseudomonadota; Gammaproteobacteria; Oceanospirillales; Halomonadaceae
Description: partial 16S ribosomal RNA
Rfam family: Bacterial small subunit ribosomal RNA
Source: RNAcentral